This 2242-nucleotide unclassified non-coding RNA is filed under the name Hevea brasiliensis (rubber tree). The record is from RNAcentral. Lineage: Eukaryota; Viridiplantae; Streptophyta; Magnoliopsida; Malpighiales; Euphorbiaceae.
CUCCAACUACACCACUUAAAUUCCCCUCCUAUCUCUCUCUCUUUCCAUUUACACACAUGUCUGUUUGUUUGUGGUUGGUGACGUGAUUCCAAAUUCUUGAUCCUUUGAUUUUGAUGUUGAUCCUAUCUGCUGCUUGUCUAGUCUCUCUUUCUCUUUCACUCUUUAAUCGAAAUCCCUGGCUUUCUUCUUUCUUUCUUUUUUUCCUCUCUCUCUUGUGUUGGGUUUUCAGAGAUGGGACUAAUGAUUCAUUGCCGCUGAUCCUGGAGAUCUAAAUUUCUUUAUUUGGAUUCUUUUUUAUUUUAAUUUGUUUUUCUACAAUUUUUUUUGCCUUGUUUUUAUGCCCAGGCGCUUAAAAUCUUGGAUUUUGUGGACUUUUCAUGUCGUUGAUUUGAUUCUUGGUGUUGGGUUUCUCUCAUUUCUGUUAGUGGUAUCAAAUCCACUUGAAAGUUUCUUUUUUGGCGCGGAGUUGGUGAUCAAUACAUUUUACUAAUUAAUUUUGCAUUAAAGCGUCCCAAUUUUGCAUGAGAGGAAGUGGUUGCAGCUAUUAGAAUUGAAUCCCAAUAAGAGUUUAGGAGAUUUGUUUAAUUGAAUGAAGUGAGAUACAAAAGGGAAAAAAAAUGGCAAGACAUAGAGGAGACAAGGAAGAUGGAUUAGAUAGGCACAUGGGUUUGCUAAAACUAGUGCAAAUAUUAUCUUUUUUGGUUGUUUUUGUGGCUGGUAUAAUUUUGGGUUUAGCAACAAGUUCUCACAUCAAUCAGUACUUCACUUCACAAGCUCGCCUAUUCUUCACGAACAACAUAGCAUCAACAACAAUCACAGGUGGUAAUUGCACAAUUUUGAGACCUUGUAAGAGGGUUGAUUGCUUUGGUAUGGAUACGUUUCUUCAUCCAAAGAACUUGACUCAUAGCAUGAAUGAUGAGGAGCUUUUUUGGAGGGCUUCUUUGAUGCCAACUAAGAAAGGGUAUCCCUUUGAUAGAUUGCCUAAAGUAGCUUUCAUGUUUUUGACGAGAGGGCCUUUGCCUAUGUUGCCAUUGUGGGAGAGGUUCUUUAGAGGUCAUGAGAAGUAUUUCUCUAUCUAUAUCCAUACACCUCAGGACUAUGUGCUCAAUGUUUCAAGGGAUUCUCCAUUCUACAGAAGGCAAAUACCGAGUCAGUAUGUUGAAUGGGGAACAGUUUCACUGGUUGAUGCUGAGAAGCGCCUUCUAGCCAAUGCCCUGCUGGAUUUCUCAAAUGAGCGGUUUGUUCUUCUCUCUGAGAGCUGCAUACCAAUCUACAAUUUCCCUAUUGUCUACAAGUAUCUCAUUUAUUCUGAAUAUAGCUUUGUUGAGUCAUAUGAUGAUCCCUCUCGUUAUGGUCGUGGCCGCUACAACCGAAAAAUGCUUCCUGAUAUUAAGCUCUUUCAGUGGAGGAAAGGGUCUCAGUGGUUUGAGAUCCAACGGGCUUUGGCUGUUCAUAUAGUCUCAGACACCAAGUACUAUUCUGUCUUCAAGAAAUAUUGUAAGCCUGCCUGCUAUCCCGAUGAGCAUUACAUUCCAACUUAUCUGAACAUGUUCCAUGGUUCGCUUAAUGCUAAUCGCACAGUAACUUGGGUUGAUUGGUCGCUGGGGGGACCCCAUCCAGCAACAUAUAACGGAAUUAACGUUACAGAGAGUUUAAUACAGUCUGUUCGGAAUAAUGGAACAGAAUGUUCAUACAAUUCAGCCAUGACAUCUGUUUGUUACCUCUUUGCUCGGAAGUUUCAUCCAAGUGCUCUGGAGUCCUUGCUUAACCUCACCUCAACAGUAAUGGAAUUUUGAUUACUCAUUUUCUUUUCUUGGCAGAGAUAUGACAUCAUUUCUGUAGUGCCCCUAGACAUUGGCUGGCGGCUCUCAUAACAAUUUUGUUUAGGCACAAUUGUACAGUUGAUUUUUAUAGGUCAUUGGGAUCGUUGAUCAUUAAGGGAAUCGCUAUUUGUUGAUCUAAUUUUGAGAGCAUUAGCUAGCCUUUUGAGAAGCAGCAACUCAGAAAGCUUAUGUCAAUGAUUACUGAGUUCAUUUUGGUUGAUGAUCAGGUAGUUGGGGGCUCUUAAAUCUGUGUUUGUUAUUAGGAAAGUUUUACAGAUUGCUUGCUAGCGUAUACUGUGCUAAUAACAAGUCCAAAAGCCUUGUAAAGCUUAUUAGUUAUGAUUUUUUUAUUCCAGCACUGUUGUCAAAAUCAAUUUUCUGAUAUGGGAACAUUAUGGCAAACCUCAAGGAGAUUUCAG